Molecule: ribosomal RNA, 253 nt
Filed under: uncultured bacterium
Lineage: Bacteria
Description: partial 16S ribosomal RNA
Rfam family: Bacterial small subunit ribosomal RNA
Source: RNAcentral
UACGAAGGGGGCUAGCGUUGCUCGGAAUCACUGGGCGUAAAGCGCACGUAGGCGGCUUUCUAAGUCAGGUGUGAAAUCCUGGAGCUCAACUCCAGAACUGCCUUUGAUACUGGAGAGCUUGAGUCCGGGAGAGGUGAGUGGAACUCCGAGUGUAGAGGUGAAAUUCGUAGAUAUUCGGAAGAACACCAGUGGCGAAGGCGGCUCACUGGCCCGGUACUGACGCUGAUGUGCGAAAGCGUGGGGAGCAAACAGG